Lactuca sativa (garden lettuce) is the source of this 669-nucleotide long non-coding RNA. RefSeq lists it as uncharacterized. Lineage: Eukaryota; Viridiplantae; Streptophyta; Magnoliopsida; Asterales; Asteraceae. The record is from RefSeq and is a predicted model, not a curated record.
AUAUUAUAUAAUGACACUUCAAAUUCAAUGCCAUCGAUGAAUGUGCAAUCAUUUACGCAAGGAGUACAAAUUAAAAUACUUCUGCAAAUUUCGCAAAUGCAUGUCUGACUUCAUUUGGAAAACCCUUCUACUGUCAUCUACUCCCACUCUAUUGAAAAUCCAUUCGAGAAGUUAUCCUGCAAGUGACAAAGAUGGUGAUUUAUCGAUGUGGAAGUGAAGCAAUGAAGUUGACUUCGUGGAUAGAUCAUAACCGUGGAAGGCAAUUUUGGAGUUGUUCGCGACGUGGGUUCCUUGGAUGGGUUGACCUUCCGAUGUGUCGUAAGGCAUUGGUGGUGAUUCCAUGUUUUAUAAGAUCAAUGAAUCGACUAGAAGAGAGGGGUGUGACUACACGUGCAGUACUGUGACACUCCCAAAUGAUGUUGCUUUGGUCAUGGGUGUUCUUUUUUGGUUUUAUUUUAAGUAGUAAGGUGAUUGCAGGGUUUGGAUGGUAAUGAGAUGGACGGGUUUGGUUUCAUUUUGUAAGUAUCUAAGUAGUGCAAAGGUUUUUGGAUUGUAAUGGAAUGGGGAGUUUUGGUUUCAUUUUGUUGUAUGCAGGUUUAUGUAACACAUUAAGUCAAUGGAACUGUAAUGGAAUGUAGUUUGUUAUAAAUCAAUGGUUUUGAUGUGCAA